UUUUGAUUUUGUUUCUUUGUUCUUGUUACAGACUAGCCUACAGAGUGUGUGACCAGUUAACCAACAUCAACAAGUGACGCAAUCGUUAUCAGGUCCUGGUGCAGUAUGCCAGCAACAUCAUUAUGCCUCUUGAGGUAUUCAGUGCCUACCAUUGACUGGCAGGAAGACACAAUGUGCUGUACUGUCUCUGAUGCCAUACCACAGCGUCUACAAAGGUCAUCGUUCAAAGGUAGCUUCAUUAUAUAUUUUUUGUAAUUUUUGGUGGCUAUCACUUGGUCUUGUAUAGCCACCAUGAAGCCUUCUGUUUCGAUGAACAAGUCACCAUGCUUUAGCCAGAUAUUUGAUUCAUCUGCAUCCAUAUCAGGCUUUCCUAAUGCAAAUGCAUGCAACUGUUUUCUGCUCCACUGCUCCAGGGCCUCGCUUUCAUGCUGAUUGCUACUUUGGGCAGCAUUAAUGUUUCGCUCUGAUAAGUUGAGAGGGGUGUAUUUCUUGUCUGCUUCUCUGACUAUUUUAUUAUUAUUAUUAUUACAUCAUAAUUAUUUGGCUUCAUCAUUAAGUUAUUUAAUCAUUCAAUUACUGUUGUGAUCAUUUGGACACGCCAGGCGCAAACGGGAUGAAAAUGAUUCUUUCUCUAACAUGCAGUAAUAGCAUAAACGUUCAUCUUCUAUCAAAUUUAUCCUGCGAUAAGUUGUCAAUACUUGAGACUGAAGCUAGAGAUAAUGUCCAGAGAAGUAUUUUAGAGAAUUCUCAGCGUGGGUUAACCCAAUUGAAGUUACCGUAUCACAAAUAGGAAAGAAAUAAUAUUAUCAUUUCUUGAAGAUGAUUUAGAGGGUUUUAGAUAGCCUAAGGUAGUAAGG
Long non-coding RNA from Nilaparvata lugens (brown planthopper), 857 nucleotides. RefSeq lists it as uncharacterized. The record is from RefSeq and is a predicted model, not a curated record. The transcript is spliced from 3 exons. NCBI's taxonomy places the organism in Eukaryota, Metazoa, Arthropoda, Insecta, Hemiptera, Delphacidae.